GAUGUACAAGUGAACCUUGGGAGCGAUCUGAAACGAAUUCCUUGUUCUCAUGAAAAUAGUCAUGAAUGCGGCCCCAAUGUGUUCCAUGAGAUUGAUCCAUCCCUUUACCGCAUUAAAAGAAACAUUUAUCCAUGCCGACACCAAAAGGUUGUCUUCCUCCAAAAUGAAUUUUUCGGAUCUUUUUUGGUUUGGUCUCACAGCAGCAUUU
RNAcentral lists this microRNA precursor (208 nucleotides) under Oryza sativa (Asian cultivated rice). RNAcentral describes it as "miR5525 stem-loop (osa-MIR5525)". The record is from miRBase by way of RNAcentral. Lineage: Eukaryota; Viridiplantae; Streptophyta; Magnoliopsida; Poales; Poaceae.